UUUCCCAGAACCACACCCAAACCCUCUUCAACCCCCUGUGUGUGGGCUGUGGCAGGGGUCAACCUCUUGUGUUCAGGUCCCCUAGGGGCCCACCCCACUCUACUAGGAACCAGGGGUCGGAUGCUGUCAGGGGAAGCCGUGUGGCUUGAGGAGUCGAGACCCUUUCCAAAUCCACCCCUGUGGAAUCUUGAGCAAAUCCCCACACCCAACUUAGCUUCAGUGUGGUGGAGGUGGGCCCAGCGCCUCUCUUGAGGGAGUGCUGCUGUAGGUACCUUCCAGCAGGCCAGGCUCCUGAGCUGGGAUCACCAUGAAGCUGGCAUCUCUCCUGGUAGCACCUAUUCUGGGGCCUUGAGCUCCGACACUCUUACGCUGGAGUUGAACUUAAGCUGCAGCGGGAGGGCUUUAAGCUAGACCCGCAGAAUUUGAGCUCUAAGGACUUGCUUAAGAUUGGGAGAGUAACUUCUUCUGCAAGGGGGCCAGCAGAGGGGCUCUCGGGUUGAAGGAGGGUUAUGCUGGCCCAAGCAUUGCCAUCAUAGCCACAGCUGGGCUGUGCCUCAGAGUCUGCAGGAGCAGGGCCCUUGGCCUUGGCUCCCAGGACAGUUGGGAGAUGGAGGGCAGCCCCAGUAGCUGCCAUCUUCCUGUCAUCUACCCACACGUCUCCAGAUCUGUUUGCCUGCAUCAGGGCCUGACUCCUGCCCCACAUGGGCCUGUGUACCAUUCAAGAAGAAAGCUUAGCUGUCUCCAACCCCGGCAUUCCCACAAGGGAAAGCUUGAGAUCUGCUGAGGGAGGGUCCUGGGAAGAGGCCUUCUUCUGUUCUCCUGUACAGCAGAGGUGUUGGCAUGUGCACGUGUGUGUCUGCAUGUGUGUGCAUCUGUGAACAUCUGUCUGUGGCUCUCGUUCUGAGCACCUGUGUGUCUCCGCUUCUGCCUUGUUCUGUCUUGGCACCUCUGGGUGUCUGUAUGUCUUUUUCUAAUCCUGGCUCUCUUCUUGUGCUUCUCUGGGCCUCGUCUUUUCAUCUUUGUGUUUUUUGCUUACUGUAUUGUAAUAUCCAUUUCCAUGCUGGAAUUCUCCUACCAGACCAUGGGCUCUGUGAGGGCAAAGACUGUCUUUUAUCUUCCCAUGUGUGCACAUAGUAGGAGCCUAGUACAUUUCUGUGGAGUAAAUGAAUGGAGAUCUGGCUCUGUUAAGAAUCCCUUAGUGUCUGUGUCUCUGGCUGCCUGACUUUCUGGGUCUCUGUGACCCUCAGAAGCUAGUUUUGUGGUUCUGUGUAGGGGUAUACCUGGUUUAUUCCCAUGCAUAUGUGUAUUUCUUGUGGUAGUUUUUCUCUCCUUGUCUAUGUCUGUUUCAGGUUUGUUGAUCUGCCUGAAUGUCUCUGCAUGUGGCCCCACAUCUCUCCUCAUGCCUGCUGGUCUCAGAGUAUAAUGGAUGCUGAGUCCAAAGCAGGUGUUUCCUGGGCAUUCGUGGCAGGGGAAUUGGACUUCCAAAUCUGCCCCCUCUCCACGUGGGUGAGCUUCUCCCAGACUCUCCAUCAUAAGAGGCUGUGAGCACCCGAAACUGAUCACCUUCUCAGCCUAGAAUGGGAGUGAGCUGUGGUCCUCUCCCUCUCUUCCUCUCACUGUGACCCCAAUCACAGCACCUGCCCUUCUCUAAUUGGCUGAUGUCAAUGGAAGGGGGAAGGGAAGGCUGAUGUCCAAGGAGGAAAUCCCAUUAGAGAACAAGCACCAAGCCCUGUGGAUUUCAGAAGAUGAGGAAACUGAGGCCUAGGAGAGUUAAAGGACCGCCCAAGACCACACCACCGCACAGAGACACCAGGACUGAACGCUUGUGUCUUCUGACUUGCAGCUUCCAGCAGCCUGGAUCAUGCUCUUCUUACCUCAUCUGGGUAGCAAGAGAAGGCUGCUCUAAAGCUACCUUACUCCCAGGUUGCAGGAGCAGAACCAAGACGUUCAGAUCCCUUGAGGAAGAGAAUGGCUCAGCAUGAGGGGGCCUCACCCAGAGCCCUGGGUCUGCUCUGAGCCCCUCACUUAAAGAGGGAAGCUGACCAAAUGAGCAGAACAGAGCAACAGAGCAAGUGGCACCAGAGAGACCACCCACGGAGGGCACUUCGUGAAGAGCGAGGAUUGGCUCUGACCAGUGCUUAUCAGCAGGCACACAGGUAGUUGAAAACAAAUCCCAGAUAUCAGGUGACUUCAUGUGGAAUGACUUCAGUAAGUACCUCUCACUAACUGGCCAUGCCAGGAUCACACCUGAGGAAAUUAACAGUAAUCCCAUGGUGAGCGUCAGCUGACACUCAGUCCCUCUUUAACUGCGCCCCGCCUCCUCCCGUAAAUAUGUAAACCCACACUGCAAGGGUGGAUGGAGGGCCAUGUGGCCGGGCGGCUUCUGUGCUUUAGCUUUGGAGCCUUAAGAGGGUGAGGGUUGAAUACCUGUGGCUUUGGGUGGGUGGUUUGCUUUAUGGGGCCUCUCUUUCUUCCUAUGCCAAAGGUACUGACCUCUCCCAAGGCGGUCAGGAGGACUGAAUGAAAUUGUAUGAGUACAGUACUGGGUACUUGGUAGGGACUCAAUGAAUGGUGGCAGUGCUUACGAUGUUUUCUAUUUUGCAUAUAAGGAAACUGAAGUUCAGAGCAGGAGAGUGACUUGCUCAAGCUCACACAGCUCAGAGUGGUUAAGCUAGGAUGGAAGCGUAGGUCUUCUAAGUGCUCUGGGAUGUGUGUUCAACACAGCCCCCUCACCCCCUCUAAUACUGGCCUUGUCUGCCACCACCCCAUACUACAAAUGGAAAUGACACAGAGGGUGACAUCAACAGGUCCCUUUUUCUCGAUAGCCACUAGAUCAUGGUGCUGUGGGCUGAGCAGAUGAUUGAUAGGACAUCACUGGGCCUGGCUCUCCAGGAGACCUAGAAAAAGAUCUUGCCCCUCUCUGGGCCUCAGUUUCCCUAUCUGUACCACAAGGGCAUUGACCUCCACGUGGUCUUCGAGACCUCUUCCAGUUCUGCUUUGUUUGCACCAGGGUUAGUAACCGUGGGAAUGGGAGAGAUGGAGAUACUUGAGGCUGAUGGGGAGUUGCACAGCCCAAGACCCCAGGCUGCAAGACAGUAUGGGGAUGAGGGCGAUCCUCCCAUAUUGGAGAUCAGGGAUGGGGUGGCCCAGCUAGGUAGAAGUGAAGCUCCCCCACCCCCACUGGAUUGUGAACCUCCUGAAAUUAGGGCUGUGACUUGUACCUUAUAAGUAUCACAUAGAUGAGAAAAAAUUUCAUCGAUGUAAUGGAUGGAACACUAGAUAGGAGAUCAGUAAGGAAAUAGAAGACUUUAAAAACACUGUAAACCAGCUAGACCUAACAGACACUGCUUUCUAACGGCGAUUGAAGAGCACAUUCCACCCAGCAACAGCAGAAUACACAUUCUUCUCAAGUGCACACGGACCAUUCUCUAGCAUAGAUCAUAUCUUAGGCCACAAAUCAAAUCUCAAUAAAUUUAGAAAAAUUGAAAUUACACAAAAUAUGUUCUCUGACAACAGAGUAAUGAAAUUAGAAGGUCAAAAACAGAAGGAAAUUUGAAAAUUCACAAAUAUGUAAAAAUUAAACGACACACUCCUAACCAAAGGGUCAAAAAAUAAAUCAUAAGGGAAAUUAGAAAAUACUUUGAGACGAAUGAAAACAAAAACACAACAUACUAAA
RNAcentral lists this long non-coding RNA (3676 nucleotides) under Homo sapiens (human). RNAcentral describes it as "HSALNT0389548". The record is from RNAcentral. Lineage: Eukaryota; Metazoa; Chordata; Mammalia; Primates; Hominidae.